UUUGGAGAGGAGCACUAUGACGACAACCUCCGGAACCUAGGCAUCGAAGAUAGCGGACACGCGAGAUAGGAGUUAUCCAGGUCAGUCUAUGAAUCGCUUCCGCCAUCAGCCACUAGAAACCUUUGUUGUACUCCAUAGACCAUCAUGGUCUUGUACUCCAAAUUUUGUAAAUGCUUGGAUAUUUUGUAUCAAGGAUGUGUCCAUCAGCUAACCUUGGAUAUUUUGUAUCAAGGAUGUGUCCAUCAGCUAACCUUGGUAUCAGUAAUCUCGGGGAUGGUGAGCACAAAGGUCAUUUUUUGGGAAAUUUAUAUCUCGGAAAUCCGGCCCUGAUAACCUUAGUAUCAGAGCCAGUCUAACCAUUGGCUAAUCCUAUCUUAGCCGGGUCAAUAAACCCUAGGUUACCACCCAUCCAAGCCUUAUCCUACCCAUAGCCAAGCCUAUCCUAACUGAUAGCAUGUAUAGUGAUAAUCAUCACCUUUCAGCAGCCGAUGCCCAACCGAUGAGACUAGCCGAGCGGUCACAUGCCUGUGACCAACACCUGAGUUGUCCCAUCCGCAAGUGUGCAAGAGAAGAUUAUGUUUUCUUUCUAUAAAGGAAACGUUUUCUCCAACCCACUACACCACAACCACCUUCCAAAUCCCAAACCGCCAAGAUGUCGGUCCCCGUUGUAUACAAUGAGACCACCGCAUCUGAGCUUGGAGAUUUUGUAGAUGUUCUUGCCAACCUCAGCUGUCGUGGCUUUACCAUAGAAGAGCCCCUGGAAUAUGUUGUGUACCAGCAGCACACGAGUAAUGGCAUCCAUCACUUCCGGGCAAUGGUGCACAUCUACGACAGGGGUAUCUCGCCAGAAUGCCCUUACCAGUUCACCAGAAGGACAACUUCCUAUGAGCCACAAGCCAUCCAGCUAGCAGCUCAACAGGCUAUAGUUCAAAACCGGCACGUGUCAUCGAGGGUUAACUGCCGCUCGUUUUACUACUACCCCUAGCCAUGAAAGUAAUACUAGGCCGCUCCAAAUCGCCAACGGAGACCAUGAGACGGACCCCACCCCGUUGCAUCUUGUGCGCUACAUGAGAGCACAAGAGGCACUGUUCAAGUAGGUCACCGUCGACCUGAUUGCAACUCACGGAAAGCUAGCUCGCCUCACCCCGAGAAGAAGAGAAGCUGCACCCGAUGCCACCAAACCAAUGAUGUUGUUCGGGAGAUCGAUCGAGCCCUCGAGGUCUAUGCCUGCUGCCGACCCAAAUCAUGCGUCCGUCUCCGUGGAAGAGCUCCGUCACAUUUUGGGGAUUUUCUCCAACGGGACGGUAACCACCGCACCCCGUGAUGGACAUCAUCGCUACCCCAGCCAUGUAACUCCACAUUCUACCCGAGUCGACCGCGACAUCGAAGUCCCAGAAGCCUCGACGUCCGCAAGUCCCGCCCGACUAGAUGUCAAGGAAGUAGACUAAGCCACUAGAGUAGUAACCCAAAUUUAGUAUUCCUACGCCCUGCAAUAUUGUGAGCUUGUAUUUUCAUGAGUAAAUUGCAGGACAUUUGUGUACCAUUAUUUUUAAAUAGGACCACCUGUACCUGUGUAAGUAUCUUUUGACUUCUAUCUAUAAAGAAAAAAUUGGGUGAAACAACCAGGAACCAACCUGGUCGACAACCAUAGUAAUAUGUCACAUUUAGUGAAUUAUAUGUGUGGCUUUGACCCGACCACGUUAGAGCAUAACGACAACCGAGAUCGACCACCCUGAAAUGUGUGCGCUAGCCAAACCCUAUAUAAGGAGUCACCCAAUAACCAUCCCCAGCGCCCUCACCUUGUGCAUUGCCUUCACAACCAUUUUUCCCCAUGUCGCGCCUUGGGAUUCAUUUGAGAACCCCGGGGAGUUUUGCUAAGAUAUUGUGGGAUUUUACCCACAGUGCCAUGGGUUGUCCCCACCGACCCUAGUACGAACUGUUCAAAUUAAGGAUCACUUCCACCACCACAAAAAAUUGGGCCGUUGCGCAGAUCCCACCAGUAGAUCCAAACCAAGACCCUACGAAAGUUUCCUUCAUCGGGAAAUGUAUGCCCACUCCAGAAAUGGUCAUAGAGGUUGCUGCCUGCGAAGCAAUUACCCGCCUUCAAUUUGCAGUACCCUAUGCCAGUGAAUUGGGGUAUUAUUACUUUUCGAGCCCUGUAGCACCCAGAGAAGCAGCGUCUUUUCCCAGCACCCGAGCAAAGAGAGAUUCGGUGUUAUCAAGCUUGUGCAGUAUGUCAUCGCUCAAGAGCGUUUGACCCAGCAAGUGAUGGAUUUCCUUCAUACCAUUGUUGUUAUGAAUCCUCAUAUCGCCAUUGGCAGGCCUCUAAGGCCAAACCAAGAAGGACACGUUGUGCGAGUCCUCCAUCCGCUCUCCCCGAAGGACGAAGGAUAUACCCCACUCCCGGGAAUAUUUCCUCAUGACCUAUAUUUUUUUCCUGUACCGUAGACGCCAUGGUUGUAAUCAUUAGCAUAGCUUUUGAUUGUAUGAUGUGAUAUCUGUGUUGUGUUUUAUAAUUUACUAUAUGGGUAUCUUAUGUCAAUUGCAGUUGUUUUGUUGCUAUGAUUUGAAAAUCGAUUGUUUCUUAUUGUAGCAAAUCUCAGGGUGAGAUUUUAUUAAAAGACCAGUGCGACAAAAACUUUUCCAGCAUAAAUUUAAAUUGCAUGCCCUCACGUGGUCCGGCUCACAUCCACACUAGAGUUGCACCAAUUAUUAACUUUUUCACUGUAACCACGUCACAUAGUGUGAGUAGAAUAUUUAUUCUCAUGUUAUUACUGGAUUGCAGUGGGAGUAAAGCUUUUGCUACCACCUUAGAAAAUCUCAAGGACAAGAUUUUUCUUAAGGGGGUAGAGUUUGUAACACCCCAAAAAAUUUAUCAUGUUUUUAUUAAUUAAAAUUUUGUUAGGGAUAUUAAUUUUUAUUUUCUAGAUCCUCUAUUGGUUUUAGAACCAUCCUUUUUCUUUGAAAUUAUAAAAUUUUCCCCUCCAAAUAGAAACCUUUGAAAAAUAUUGUGCGGCUUGAAUGUUUGAAUUAAAAGUAUUUCAUUUCAUUUUUAAAAAUUCAGGGAGAAAUAUUUUUAUAAUGAAGCUUGCCAAAUUUAAUUAUUUUAAUGGCCUUUUUGAAUUCUUUAAAGGGCCUCCAUUGCACUACAACCAUUUUAAUUAUUCAUUUAAAGACCCCAUAAAAAUUUGGAGAUGUCUUGUGAUGCCUAUAGAUCACUCUUAUGCAAAAACCCAUCUUGGCCUUUUGAAAAUUUUGAGCAAACCAUGCUCAUCUGAAUUAUGUUCCAGUUUAGUGGUUUGAACUGCAACCCUAUUUUAUUUUCCCAUAAUCAUCAUGAGAUAUUUCCUUCUUACAUUCCACCCUACCAACCCCUUAAGUACAUGAGUUUAGCUCCAUUGGACUAUUUUAAGCCCAUGUAAUUAACCUAUGGAGUUCCUGUCUAGAAAUGAAGUUUUGUAAAACUUGCACUAACUAGUUUCUGUUUUUCUCAAACUAACCAUGCCAUCCUCAUUAGCACCUAAAGAGGCUCCAUCAUUCUGUCGAGCACCCUGGGUGCAUGGCGGGAUUUGGCAUGCUCCUAACCUUGCCUUAGAAACUUGUUUCCCUGGCCUAACUAACAUGUCCCCUAGCCUUCCCUUGCCCAUAAACCUAGAACAGUCAAGCCUCAAUUGCAUCUGAGCCCCCUGGCGUAUCCUGGCUUUUUGUUGAACACCGGAUGCACAUGCUCGAAACACGAGAAGAGCACGCGCAUUGUGUUGGGGAACAUUGCACGGGAAACAAAAAAAUUCCUACGCUCACCAAGAUCAAUCUAGGAGAUGCACAUCUACGAGGGGAGAGAUUGUAUCUACAUAUCCUUGUAGAUCGCUAAGAGAAACCUUUAAAGAACGCGGUUGAUGUAGUUGAACGUCUUCGCGAUCCAAAUCGCAAUUCGUCCCGUGAUCCCAUCACGAUCCAUCCUGAUCUAGUGCCGAACGGACGACAUCUCCGCGUUCAGCACACGUACAACUCGAUGGCGUUCUCCGCCUCCUUGAUCCAACAAGCGAGGAAGGAGAGGUUGAUGAGUUCUCUAGCAGCGCGACGGCGUGACAGUGGUGGUGGUGUUGUUGUCCCGGCAGGGCUACACCUAGAUCUAUCGAAGCUGCGAAAACGAUCUAGGGAGAGAGAGGGGCGCCAAGGGCUUCGUGUGUCCUCUCGGGGUGCCCCUCCCCUCUAUAUAUAUAGGUGGAGGGGCGUGGGUGUGACAGCCCGAGACCGACGCCCCAGAAGAUUUCCCUUUUUAUUCCGUUGCCGUCCUGUGAUUAGGUUGUCUGUUGCAUUCAUCUUCGCAUCAUGCACAUCAUCUGCAUUGCAUCGGCACUCCGUUGCCGCCAGUUUUCAAAACUUGCAUCCGUUAUUAGUUGCGGUUCUCUUCGUUCUCGUCGUUGACCGUGUUGAGCCCGACCACACACGCACGUACCCGCGGCAUCGUUAAAAUAUUUGGUUUUAAAAGUGUGUAUAAAAUAUUUCCGGAUUGAGUCGAAACUUGGCGUGCGGUCUUAUUUUAAUAUAGGUAGGCCGCCUGCCAAUUUUCGUCGUAAUCGGAGUUCGUCUGGUACCCGAACGGUCGACCAUAGCGGCACCGUCUUCGGUUAUCGUCGGACGUUUUUCGGUUUUAAAAUAUUGUUGCCGGGUCGCACCAUUCCCAUCUCGUAUCAGCCUACACCCCUCUACACGGCCUAACCUAACCCUAGGACGUUUCCGGAGCGUCCGAUCGAGAUUGGAGAGUCCGAAAACGCCCUGAUUAGCUAACCCUAGCCCAUGUGUCUAUAAAAGACACCAAACUCUUCUUCCACCUCGGUUCCCAUGCCACCCUAACCCUAGCCGUCGCAGCCUCCUCCCACCUUCUCUCUCCUCCCAGCCGCCAGGGCCCGCCAGGCCCGCAGCAGGCCCUCCGGGGCCCGAACCACCGCUGCUAGCCCGCGCACCCAAGCGCCUUCACCCCGAGCGCUGCUCCCGCUCGGCCAUCACCGAGGCAACGCCAGCGCGUUCAGCUCCCGUCACCUCCCCACGCAGGUGCAUCACCGGACCGCCGUGCCGCCCUUGCAGCUCGUCGGAGCUCCACGAGGCCGCCUCGCCUCGCUCCUCUCCCUUCUUCUUCCUUCCUCUUCUUCUCCCUCACGACCUCUCUCUCUUCCGUGAGCCCCGACCAAAGUCCCUACGCCGCGUGGUGCCCUGCCGCCGGUGAUCCAGCCGCUGUCGGAGCCCGUCCGCCGUCGGUUCCUACUGCCGAGUUCCCCCGCACUGCCCCGCGCCAGCGCCACAGCGCCCCGCCUCCUCGAUCCAAUCGGAUAGGGACGGGUAGGAGCGCCUGGCCGUUGACCGCGCCAUGCCAGACUGCGUCCCCGUGGGCCGCCUCCCUGCCUCGCGCGCUCGACCGCGCCAGUCGCCCCCUGGGCCGGCCAGCUUGCCCCUCCGCUGGCCCAGCCGGCCUCCCCUGGUCUUGGCCCAGUCGAACCAAGCCGGCCUGCUCACCUCCUCUCCAGGCCGGCCCAGGAGCCACGGUGAGCUGAUUCCCCCCCAGCCGUCUAUUUAGCGCCCGUGCGCCGUUUAGCUAUCCCGCGCCCAUGUCCUGUUUUGGGCCUGUAGCCAGAUUCUGCCCAGUAGUAUUAUUUUAGGUUUUUUCGGAUUUAUUAUUUUCAGGAAAAGAAGUAUUUUAAAAUGGUCGCAACUUUUAAACGUGCAUCGGGUCGGAAAGAAUUAUAUAUGUAACUUGUGUAGAAUUUCACGUAGAACAUUAUUUUGCAACUUGCAUGCAUGUUUGGAGUGGUUUGACCGUCGUUUUCCUAGAAUAUAUGUGAUGUCCUAUUAGGGUUAUAUUUCCGUAGCUAUUUUUGUGCGCGUCCGGAUUGCUCAAAUUACAUCGAUAAAAUGUUCAUGUUGUUCGGGACCCUUUGCCAUGUAUUUUAGAGUAGUUGCUUGCAUUUUUUGCAUGUAGGAGCUAUCAAUAGUUUGCUAUAUCGUGUUUAGGACAUAUUCUCGCAUAUAUGUGUGACGUUAGUUUUAUUUUGCAACCCCACAUAUUAUAUAUGUUUUCAGGGUAAAAAUCCGUAUAAUUUAACUGUGCAAUUAGUUUUUCCUUUCGAGUAAGUUAGUGCGCGUGAUAUUUCUGCCAUGUUGCCCUCUUGUCUAUUUUGUGGAAUUUAUUCCGUGCAUGAUUGAUACGUCUCCAACUUAUCUACAAUUUUUGAUGGUUCCAUGCUAUUAUCUUAUCAAACUUUGGAUGUUUUGUAUGCCUUUUAUAUUUUUUUGGACUAACUUAUUAACUCAGUGCCAAGUGCCAGUUCAUGUUUUUUUCGUGUUUUUGAUCCCUUUCAGAGGAGGAUUUCAAACAGUGUCCAAACGGAAUAAAACUUCUAAAAAGAUUUUUUCGAAACAGAAGAUACGCACGGGACGUGAGAACCAAGGCAGAGGCCACCAAGGGACGCCACAAGCCCCCUAGGCGCGGCCAGGGGGCCCGCGCCUAGCAGGCUUGUGGGUCCCGUGUGGCUCGUUUGCCCUACCUCUUCCGCCUAUAAAUUCCUGAAAAAUCCAAAACUGCGCGAGAGAUCCACGAAAAUACUUUUCCGCCGCCGCAAGCUUCUGUCUCCGCAAGAUCCCAUCUAAGGCACGUUCUGGUGCCUUGCCGGAGGGGGGAUUCGGAUACAGAGGGCUUCUUCAUCAACACCAUGACCUCUCCGAUGAUGCGUGAUUAGUUCACCACAGACCUUCAGGUCCAUAGCUAGUAGCUAGAUGACUUCUUCUCUCUCUUGUAUCUUCAAUACAAAGUUCUCCAUGAUCUUCAUGGAGAUCUAUCCGAUGUAAUCUUCUUUUGUGGUGUGUUUGUCGAGAUCCGAUGAAUUGUGGAUUUAUGAUCAGAUUAUCUAUGAAUCUUAUUUGAGUUUCUUCUGAUCUCUUAUAUGCAUGAUUUCAUAUCCUU
Molecule: long non-coding RNA, 6958 nt
Filed under: Hordeum vulgare
Lineage: Eukaryota; Viridiplantae; Streptophyta; Magnoliopsida; Poales; Poaceae
Description: long non-coding RNA (HVUL_LNC021093)
Source: RNAcentral